RNAcentral lists this long non-coding RNA (235 nucleotides) under Vitis vinifera (wine grape). RNAcentral's name for it is "long non-coding RNA (VVIN_LNC002420)". Lineage: Eukaryota; Viridiplantae; Streptophyta; Magnoliopsida; Vitales; Vitaceae. The record is from RNAcentral.
CCAAGUCCUUAAGCCCAUGCCCACAUCCUACAUAAAGAAAACUCAAUCCACAAGCCCAAGCCCAAAUCCAAAACCAAACACAAAAUUAGGCCUGGGCUGCAACUCAAAUCUGAGCCCAAAGUCUUCAUGGGCAAGCCCAAUACAAACACCAACAUAGGUAAGCCCAAAACCUAUCUCCAUCACAAAAUUGGGCCUAGUGCCCCAACUCAAGCCCAAGCCCAAACUUCAUCUUCUC